This 301-nucleotide ribosomal RNA is filed under the name uncultured bacterium. RNAcentral describes it as "partial 16S ribosomal RNA". It matches the Rfam family "Bacterial small subunit ribosomal RNA", at positions 509 to 807 of the family's 1533-position model. The record is from RNAcentral.
CAGCAGCCGCGGUAAUACGUAGGGUGCAAGCGUUAAUCGGAAUUACUGGGCGUAAAGCGUGCGCAGGCGGUUAUAUAAGACAGAUGUGAAAUCCCCGGGCUCAACCUGGGAACUGCAUUUGUGACUGUAUAGCUAGAGUACGGCAGAGGGGGAUGGAAUUCCGCGUGUAGCAGUAAAAUGCGUAGAUAUGCGGAGGAACACCGAUGGCGAAGGCAAUCCCCUGGGCCUGUACUGACGCUCAUGCACGAAAGCGUGGGGAGCAAACAGGAUUAGAUACCCCUGUAGUCCCUGUCUCUUAUAC